Molecule: ribosomal RNA, 472 nt
Filed under: uncultured bacterium
Lineage: Bacteria
Description: SSU rRNA
Rfam family: Bacterial small subunit ribosomal RNA
Source: RNAcentral
AGGAUAAACGCUGGCGGCGUGCAUGAGACAUGCAAGUCGAACGGACACUUGGGGCUUGCUCCAAGUGUUAGUGGCGGACGGCUGAGUAACGCGUAGGUGACCUGCCCCGAAGUGGGGAAUAACUGCCCGAAAGGGUGGCUAAUACCGCAUGUGGUGGUGUGUUCAUUCACACCAGUAAAGCCGCAAGGCGCUUCGGGAGGGGCCUGCGUCCGAUUAGCUCGUUGGCGGGGUAACGGCUCACCAAGGCGACGAUCGGUAGGUGGUCUGAGAGGACGAUCACCCAGACUGGGACUGAGACACGGCCCAGACUCCUACGGGAGGCAGCAGUCGGGAAUUUUGCGCAAUGGACGAAAGUCUGACGCAGCAACGCCGCGUUAGGGAUGAAGGCCUUCGGGUUGUAACCUCUUUUAUCAGGGAAGAUAAUGACGGUACCUGAUGAAUAAGUCACGGCUAACUACGUGCCAGCAGCCGC